GCUAUUUUGGCAGAUUAGUGCAAUAAAUUUAGAAUUUAUUUAUGUGAUUUAUAUUACAGAUAGUA
This 65-nucleotide transfer RNA is filed under the name Bactrocera moluccensis. RNAcentral describes it as "tRNA-Leu". The record is from RNAcentral. Lineage: Eukaryota; Metazoa; Arthropoda; Insecta; Diptera; Tephritidae.